GGCGGCGUGCCUAACACAUGCAAGUCGAACGAGAAAGUGGAGCAAUCCAUGAGUAAAGUGGCGACCGGGUGAGUAACACGUGACUAACCUACCUUCGAGUGGGGGAUAACCUCGGGAAACCGGGGCUAAUACCGCAUAACAUCUUUGAAGUGGAAAUUUCGGAGAUCAAAGGAGCAAUUCGCUGGAAGAGGGGGUCGCGGCUGAUUAGCUAGUUGGCGGGGUAACGGCCCACCAAGGCUUAGAUCGGUAGCCGGCCUGAGAGGGCGCACGGCCACACUGGAACUGAAACACGGUCCAGACUCCUACGGGAGGCAGCAGUGGGGAAUCUUGCGCAAUGGGCGAAAGCCUGACGCAGCGACGCCGCGUGCGGGAAGAAGGCCUUCGGGUUGUAAACCGCUUUCAGGAGGGACGAAGCCACUCAGGUUAAUAGCCGAGAGGGUGACGGUACCUCCAGAAGAAGCCCCGGCUAACUACGUGCCAGCAGCCGCGGUAAUACGUA
Molecule: ribosomal RNA, 499 nt
Filed under: uncultured Acidobacteriota bacterium
Lineage: Bacteria; Pseudomonadati; Acidobacteriota
Description: bacterial SSU rRNA
Rfam family: Bacterial small subunit ribosomal RNA
Source: RNAcentral